CUUCUAUCUGUGAUCUCUGUCUAUAACUAUUCCUUCACUCUACUGCUUUUGUGGCUAUUCUCUCUUUGUGAAUUUACCUUCUUUUGUGGUUUUCUAAGUAGGUAAAUUUUUAGCAACAGUAAGUGGAUGAGUGGUUGAAGAAAGUUUGGGUUGUCAUAUUGGCGUCGAUCUUUGGAGGAACUGAGCCCACAAAACACUUCGUGAUCUUAUAUUCUACACAACAUCCUUUUUUUCUUCAUGCAUAUUCAGAUAUGGAUUGGGUGGUAAUGAAGAUGAUUACUCCCCAAAAUUGGUGCUUAGCUUCUUUAUCUUGGUCGAAAUCUUAUUUUUUUAGAGCUCUAAGAGACAAACCAACAUUGCUUGUUCUUCCACAGAGGCUGAGUACCCUUUCAGUCGAUGCUACUACUGCAGAACUAAAUUGGGUUUGUUCUUUUCUCAUAGAACUUUGCUUCACUUUGCAUCAUUCUAUUGUUGUAUAUUGCGAUAAUGUUGGUGCAACUCAGCUGUGCUCUAACCUUGUUUUUCAUUCUCUAAUGAAACGUGUGGCUAUUGAUUAUUACUUUAUUCAAGAAAAAGUUCAAUCAGGUGUCUUUCAUGUGGCACAUGUUUCUUCUGCUGAUCAACUUAUAGAUGCUCUAACAAAGCCAUUAUCUCGGCCUCAAUUUUACUCGUUCCAAG
This 678-nucleotide long non-coding RNA is filed under the name Olea europaea subsp. europaea. Lineage: Eukaryota; Viridiplantae; Streptophyta; Magnoliopsida; Lamiales; Oleaceae. The record is from RNAcentral.